Molecule: ribosomal RNA, 405 nt
Filed under: uncultured bacterium
Lineage: Bacteria
Description: bacterial SSU rRNA
Rfam family: Bacterial small subunit ribosomal RNA
Source: RNAcentral
GUUUGAUCCUGGCUCAGAUUGAACGCUGGCGGGAAUGCUUUACACAUGCAAGUCGAGCGGCAGCGCGGGGCAACCUGGCGGCGAGCGGCGAACGGGUGAGUAAUACAUCGGAACGUGCCCAGACGUGGGGGAUAACUACUCGAAAGAGUGGCUAAUACCGCAUACGAUCUACGGAUGAAAAGCGGGGGAUCGCAAGACCUCGCGCGUCUGGAGCGGCUGAUGGCAGAUUAGGUAGUUGGUGGGGAUAAAAGCCUACCAAGCCAACGAUCUGUAGCUAGGUCUGAGAGGAUGAUCAGCCACACUGGGACUGAGACACGGCCCAGACUCCUACGGGAGGCAGCAGUGGGGAAUUUUGGACAAUGGGCGAAAGCCUGAUCCAGCCAUUCCGCGUGCAGGAUGAAGGCC